Molecule: long non-coding RNA, 1441 nt
Organism: Silurus meridionalis
Lineage: Eukaryota; Metazoa; Chordata; Actinopteri; Siluriformes; Siluridae
Exons: 2
Source: RefSeq, a predicted model, not a curated record
ACUACAUCUCCCAUCAGCCUUCACACAUCACAUCACUUGACCUGACCAUAUGUCACUCAUCCCUCACACCUGUUUCUUUUUUACCACUAAUUAGCAUUGUAGUCUGUAGUCCUCACCAUUAGUCUCACGUGGUUGCUGUCUGGUUCAUGUUUGUUUGCUUUAUGUAUUUAUCUGCACUUUAUAUGACACUCAGGGCUCCUAUAGACUUCAAACUGGGCAGGAGGUUGGAAUAUAUACCCAGAUGGCAGCCAAUUCACCAUGCAUGCAGUUAAACACAGGGAAUCAUCUUAAACCCAGAGCAAGUUUAGGUUGGAGUUUCUAUUCAAUCAGAUUUUAGCAUCACGUGUUGCAAAGGAACUGCUCAGGGAUCAACACCUUUGGGAUCUCAAAGCGUACAGUAAUUGGCGAGCCACCCCAGGAGCUCAACGAGUCAGCAGAAAUCCAAAAUCUGACCUGUGUGUCAAAAUCUGACACUGUUGCAGACGCUGUGGCCGUCUGUAGAAUACAAGGGGUAAAAAAGAACACUGGGGACGUUUCCGCUCGACGCCUCGAGGAUGAGGAAAGCCCCAAAGCUCUUGGGAAAUUAGAGUGACAUUUUGAAAUCUCUCAUGUUCUGCGUCUUCGUCUGCCUUCUCUGUCUACGUUCUGCUGGAAGGUAAAAAUAUUUCUUUGAACAUGCUACCAUGACACCAGGCUAGGAGUGACUGGCUUCAAGGAAAUGCAAAUGUGAGACUCGCAGAAGUUCAUACUACUCCUCGUAUCCAAAAACAAAACUGCCAUCGUUCUCUGAAAAAGUUCGGUUUUAAUGUGGAAUAUGAAUCUGAUUUUUUUUUUUUUUUUUUUUUGGGCCAAAGAAAAUCAUACAUCUCAGCAGGCUUUUGGUAGAAUCCCCAAUUUUUGUAAAUUUCCACCCUGAAACACAAUAUGAAGAAUAUUUUGAUUGCAAUUUUUGACACAAUUGUGUAGGACGACUUUGGUUGCUGUAGCAUUUAAUUUUUCCCUUCAAAUUGAACUAGGAGUCUCAAACUUGCUCCAGCAUGACAAUGCCACUAUUCCAUGGGUUGGAGUGGAAGAUCUCCUGCUUUAAAACUCAAUCCUAUUCAACACCUUGGGAAUGAAAUUUUCAUGCUGACUGCUCCCCCACGCCUCCUCACCUCACCUACAUCUUUACCUUCCUCUGGUCACUUACUGGGCACAAAAUCUCCAGGAGCACAAUCCAAAAUCAAGUGGAACGUCUUCCCAGAAGAAUGGAGGUUACAAUAAGAGCAAAUGGGGACUAAAUGUGGGGAUGUUUCUAACAUUGAUCAUCCUUCAAUGCAAAGGUUUUUUUUUUCCAUUUUCCUCCAUAUCAUUUGUAAAAGUUUUUCCUCCGUUUUUCUAUUCGAUUUGCUCUGUUUUCAUGUAACUGCCCUUUAUCCAUUAAAGCGUAUUAUUAUUAUUA